This is a non-coding RNA of Schistosoma curassoni, 45 nucleotides long. The record is from Rfam. Lineage: Eukaryota; Metazoa; Platyhelminthes; Trematoda; Strigeidida; Schistosomatidae.
AUCCAACUGACGAGUCCCAAGCAGGAUGAGAUGCGUGUCCUGGAU